UGGAAACGGGUGGUAAUGCCGGAUGCUCCGACUCCUCGCAUGGGGUGUCGGGAAAGAUUUCAUCGGUAUGGGAUGGGGUCGCGUCCUAUCAGGUAGUCGGCGGGGUAACGGCCCACCGAGCCUACGACGGGUAGCCGGCCUGAGAGGGCGACCGGCCACAUUGGGACUGAGAUACGGCCCAGACUCCUACGGGAGGCAGCAGUGGGGAAUAUUGCACAAUGGGCGCAAGCCUGAUGCAGCGACGCCGCGUGCGGGAUGACGGCCUUCGGGUUGUAAACCGCUUUUGAUCGGGAGCAAGCCUUCGGGUGAGUGUACCUUUCGAAUAAGCACCGGCUAACUACGUGCCAGCAGCCGCGGUAAUACGUAGGGUGCAAGCGUUAUCCGGAAUUAUUGGGCGUAAAGGGCUCGUAGGCGGUUCGUCGCGUCCGGUGUGAAAGUCCAUCGCUUAACGGUGGAUCUGCGCCGGGUACGGGCGGGCUGGAGUGCGGUAGGGGAGACUGGAAUUCCCGGUGUAACGGUGGAAUGUGUAGAUAUCGGGAAAAAAACACCA
RNAcentral lists this ribosomal RNA (550 nucleotides) under Bifidobacterium pseudocatenulatum. Its description in RNAcentral is "bacterial SSU rRNA". It matches the Rfam family "Bacterial small subunit ribosomal RNA", at positions 151 to 711 of the family's 1533-position model. Lineage: Bacteria; Bacillati; Actinomycetota; Actinomycetes; Bifidobacteriales; Bifidobacteriaceae. The record is from RNAcentral.